UACGGAGGGUGCAAGCAUUAAUCGGAUUUAUUGGGCGUAAAGGGCGCGUAGGCGGAGAUGUAAGUCAGAUGUGAAAUCCCGGGGCUCACCCCCGGAACCGCAUAUGAAACUGCAUCCCUAGAGGGUAGGCGGAGAAAAUGGAAUUCCACAAGUAGCGGUGAAAUGCGUAGAUAUGUGGAAGAACACCAGUGGCGAAGGCGGUUUUCUAGCUUACUCCUGACGCUGAGGCGCGAAAGCAAGGGGAUCAAACAGG
RNAcentral lists this ribosomal RNA (253 nucleotides) under uncultured bacterium. RNAcentral describes it as "partial 16S ribosomal RNA". It matches the Rfam family "Bacterial small subunit ribosomal RNA", at positions 524 to 776 of the family's 1533-position model. The record is from RNAcentral.